This 1373-nucleotide ribosomal RNA is filed under the name uncultured bacterium. RNAcentral describes it as "bacterial SSU rRNA". It matches the Rfam family "Bacterial small subunit ribosomal RNA". The record is from RNAcentral.
AGAGUUUGAUCCUGGCUCAGGACGAACGCUGGCGGCGCGCCUAACACAUGCAAGUCGAACGAGCGAGAGAGAGCUUGCUUUCUCGAGCGAGUGGCGAACGGGUGAGUAACGCGUGAGGAACCUGCCUCAAAGAGGGGGACAACAGUUGGAAACGACUGCUAAUACCGCAUAAGCCCACGGCUCGGCAUCGAGCAGAGGGAAAAGGAGCAAUCCGCUUUGAGAUGGCCUCGCGUCCGAUUAGCUAGUUGGUGAGGUAACGGCCCACCAAGGCGACGAUCGGUAGCCGGACUGAGAGGUUGAACGGGCACAUUGGGACUGAGACACGGCCCAGACUCCUACGGGAGGCAGCAGUGGGGAAUAUUGCACAAUGGGGGAAACCCUGAUGCAGUGACGCCGCGUGGAGGAAGAAGGUCUUCGGAUUGUAAACUCCUGUUGUUGGGGAAGAUAAUGACGGUACCCAACAAGGAAGUGACGGCUAACUACGUGCCAGCAGCCGCGGUAAAACGUAGGUCACAAGCGUUGUCCGGAAUUACUGGGUGUAAAGGGAGCGCAGGCGGGAAGACAAGUUGGAAGUGAAAUCUAUGGGCUCAACCCAUAAACUGCUUUCAAAACUGUUUUUCUUGAGUAGUGCAGAGGUAGGCGGAAUUCCCGGUGUAGCGGUGGAAUGCGUAGAUAUCGGGAGGAACACCAGUGGCGAAGGCGGCCUACUGGGCACCAACUGACGCUGAGGCUCGAAAGUGUGGGUAGCAAACAGGAUUAGAUACNCUGGUAGUCCACACCGUAAACGAUGAUUACCAGGUGUUGGAGGAUUGACCCCUUCAGUGCCGCAGUUAACACAAUAAGUAAUCCACCUGGGGAGUACGACCGCAAGGUUGAAACUCAAAGGAAUUGACGGGGGCCCGCACAAGCAGUGGAGUAUGUGGUUUAAUUCGACGCAACGCGAAGAACCUUACCAAGUCUUGACAUCCCUUGACGAUGCUGGAAACAGUAUUUCUCUUCGGAGCAAGGAGACAGGUGGUGCAUGGUUGUCGUCAGCUCGUGUCGUGAGAUGUUGGGCUAAGUCCCGCAACGAGCGCAACCCUUAUGGUCAGUUACUACGUAAGAGGACUCUGGCCAGACUGCCGUUGACAAAACGGAGGAAGGUGGGGAUGACGUCAAAUCAUCAUGCCCUUUAUGACUUGGGCUGCACACGUACUACAAUGGCGUUAAACAAAGAGAAGCAAGACCGCGAGGUGGAGCAAAACUCAGAAACAACGUCCCAGUUCGGACUGCAGGCUGCAACCCGCCUGCACGAAGUCGGAAUUGCUAGUAAUCGUGGAUCAGCAUGCCACGGUGAAUACGUUCNCCGGGCCCUUGUACACACCGCCCGUNNC